UCUAUAUUGAUGUAUUAUGUGUACUAUAAUACUCUUAUUCUAAAUAUUUCAUUUUGUACUGUUAGGAUCUGCAGUUAGAAUAUGGACAAGGACAUCAAGGAAGUUACUUUUUAGGAGGAAACAAGAGUCUUCUGAAGUCUGUUGAAGAAGAAUUACAUCAGCGAGGACAUGUGGCACAUUUAGAAGAUGAUGAAGGGGAUGAUGAUGAAUCUAAACAUUCAACCAUGAAAGCAAAAGUUCCACCACCUUUGCC
Molecule: non-coding RNA, 253 nt
Organism: Castor canadensis (American beaver)
Lineage: Eukaryota; Metazoa; Chordata; Mammalia; Rodentia; Castoridae
Source: RefSeq, a predicted model, not a curated record